UACGAAGGGAGCUAGCGUUGUUCGGAAUCACUGGGCGUAAAGCGCACGUAGGCGGAUGUGUCAGUCAGGGGUGAAAUCCCGGAGCUCAACUUCGGAACUGCCCUUGAUACAGCACGUCUUGAGUCCGGAAGAGGUGGGUGGAAUUCCUAGUGUAGAGGUGAAAUUCGUAGAUAUCGGGAGGAACACCUGUGGCGAAGGCGGCCACCUGGUUGGAUACUGACGCUGAGACGCGAAAGCGUGGGGAGCAAACAGG
Molecule: ribosomal RNA, 253 nt
Filed under: uncultured bacterium
Lineage: Bacteria
Description: partial 16S ribosomal RNA
Rfam family: Bacterial small subunit ribosomal RNA
Source: RNAcentral